GGCUAGGUAACAUAAUGGAAAUG
This 23-nucleotide non-coding RNA is filed under the name Arabidopsis thaliana (thale cress). The record is from RNAcentral. Lineage: Eukaryota; Viridiplantae; Streptophyta; Magnoliopsida; Brassicales; Brassicaceae.